ACGACCAUACCACUCUACGUCCGAUCACCGAAGUUAAGCAAUGUCGAGCCCGGUCAGUACUUGGGAGGGUGACCACUUGGGAACACCGGGUGUAGCUGUAGGUU
Cordylochernes scorpioides is the source of this 104-nucleotide non-coding RNA. NCBI's taxonomy places the organism in Eukaryota, Metazoa, Arthropoda, Arachnida, Pseudoscorpiones, Chernetidae. The record is from the annotation of a GenBank genome assembly.